Xiphophorus maculatus (southern platyfish) is the source of this 334-nucleotide long non-coding RNA. RefSeq lists it as uncharacterized. The transcript is spliced from 3 exons. The record is from RefSeq and is a predicted model, not a curated record. NCBI's taxonomy places the organism in Eukaryota, Metazoa, Chordata, Actinopteri, Cyprinodontiformes, Poeciliidae.
UGAUCAGAGCGGCUUCAGCUAGCUGCAUGCAUGGAGGAACCCCACGUUGUCGACGCUGUGGGCAGGACUGGGGAAGCGGCUGCUGUUGUGACUCAAUCAAAGAAAAAUGUAUAUGAUCUCAUGUGGAAAAGUUGAAAGAAAAAACUAAAUUCAAGGGAGGCAGACGAGUCAACUUCUGAGGAAGCUGAAACCCUUCGCUGUGUGCAGGAGAUCAUUCUGCGGUUAUUGCUGUCUGCAGGAGCAGAGGACGGCUGACCUGUCUGCAACAGAUCCACCCAGACCCAGCUCUGCUGUAACCACAAAUAUCACAGCAGGGUUUCCUUCUGCCUGUAGC